This 253-nucleotide ribosomal RNA is filed under the name uncultured bacterium. Its description in RNAcentral is "partial 16S ribosomal RNA". It matches the Rfam family "Bacterial small subunit ribosomal RNA", at positions 524 to 776 of the family's 1533-position model. The record is from RNAcentral.
UACGUAGGUGGCAAGCGUUACCCGGAAUUAUUGGGCGUAAAGAGCGCGCAGGUGGUUAAUUAAGUCUGAUGUGAAAGCCCACGGCUUAACCGUGGAGGGUCAUUGGAAACUGGUUGACUUGAGUGCAGAAGAGGGAAGUGGAAUUCCAUGUGUAGCGGUGAAAUGCGUAGAGAUAUGGAGGAACACCAGUGGCGAAGGCGGCUCCCUGGUCUGCAACUGACACUGAGGCGCGAAAGCGUGGGGAGCAAACAGG